UAAUACCGGAUAACGCAUAUGUGCUGGAAUGCUUUAUGCGUAAAAUGGAUUCGUCCGCCCAAGGAUGGGUCUGCGGCCUAUCAGGUAGUAGUGGGUGUAAUGUACCUACUAGCCAACAACGGGUACGGGUUGUGAGAGCAAGAGCCCGGAGAUGGAUUCUGAGACAUGAAUCCAGGCCCUACGGGGCGCAGCAGGCGCGAAAACUUUACAAUGCGGGAAACCGUGAUAAGGGAACACCGAGUGCCAGCAUCAUAUGCUGGCUGUCCAGAUGUGUAAACUACAUCUGUUAGCAAGGGCCGGGCAAGACCGGUGCCAGCCGCCGCGGUAACACCGGCGGCCCGAGUGGUGACCGUUAUUAUUGGGUCUAAAGGGUCCGUAGCCGGUUUGGUCAGUCCUCCGGGAAAUCUGAUAGCUUAACUGUUAGGCUUUCGGGGGAUACUGCCAGGCUUGGAACCGGGAGAGGUAAGAGGUACUACAGGGGUAGGAGUGAAAUCUUGUAAUCCCUGUGAGACCACCUGUGGCGAAGGCGUCUUACCAGAACGGGUUCGACGGUGAGGGACGAAAGCUGGGGGCACGAACCGGAUUAGAUACCCGGGUAGUCCCAGCCGUAAACUAUGCUCGCUAGGUGU
Molecule: ribosomal RNA, 629 nt
Filed under: uncultured archaeon
Lineage: Archaea
Description: bacterial SSU rRNA
Rfam family: Archaeal small subunit ribosomal RNA
Source: RNAcentral